GGAAACAGCAUGAUUCUCCAGACAAAGCCAGGAAGAAUGCUCUGAUUUUCUUAUGCAGAUAUUUCCUCAAGAGUGAGUGCUUCCAGAAUAUGUGCUGUUUUUGCUUCCACUUAGCAUCAUUCCAAAUUACAGAAGUGAAAACUCCAUAUUGGAUCAUGCAGUGUAGCGUUUGCUCAGGGUCGGGAGAAGGCAUAGAAAGAAGAGAGUGUGUGACCUUCCUGACCUGGGGGGCAGAGGGCCCUGCUGGAGCUGCAUUGUCGGGCAGCUGGUAGCAGUGCACACUCAGCUCCACGCUGCUUCUGUGACACGGGGCCAGUCGAGCAACCCUGGGUAUGGCAAUGUUCCCAGUUUCCACCUCCUUCUGCCCUUGUCCCCCACCACUUUCUAUA
This 389-nucleotide long non-coding RNA is filed under the name Dasypus novemcinctus (nine-banded armadillo). Its description in RNAcentral is "lncRNA (ENSDNOG00000049983.1)". Lineage: Eukaryota; Metazoa; Chordata; Mammalia; Cingulata; Dasypodidae. The record is from RNAcentral.